This 400-nucleotide ribosomal RNA is filed under the name uncultured bacterium. RNAcentral's name for it is "bacterial SSU rRNA". It matches the Rfam family "Bacterial small subunit ribosomal RNA", at positions 355 to 752 of the family's 1533-position model. The record is from RNAcentral.
UAAGGAAUAUUGGUCAAUGGUGGAAACACUGAACCAGCUAUCCCGCGUGAAGGAUGAAGGGGCUCUGCCUUGUAAACUUCUUUUGAAUGGGACGAAAAAGCCUCACUUGUGAGGAACUGACGGUACCAUUAGAAUAAGCACCGGCUAACUCCGUGCCAGCAGCCGCGGUAAUACGGAGGGUGCAAGCGUUAUCCGGAAUCACUGGGUUUAAAGGGUGCGUAGGCGGCUGUAUAAGUCAGUGGUGAAAGGCUGUGGCUUAACCAUGGGAUUGCCAUUGAUACUGUACGGCUUGAAUUGGGUUGAGGUUGGCGGAAUGUGACAUGUAGCGGUGAAAUGCUUAGAUAUGUCAUGGAACAUCGAUUGCGAAGGCAGCUGACUGGACCUUGAUUGACGCUGAGGC